This 372-nucleotide ribosomal RNA is filed under the name uncultured organism. RNAcentral describes it as "partial 16S ribosomal RNA". It matches the Rfam family "Bacterial small subunit ribosomal RNA", at positions 527 to 896 of the family's 1533-position model. The record is from RNAcentral.
GGAGGGCACGAGCGUUGUUCGGAAUUAUUGGGCGUAAAGCGCGUGUAGGCGGCUGGGUAAGUCGGAUGUGAAAGCCCGGGGCUCAACCCCGGAAUUGCAUUCGAAACUGCCCAGCUAGAGUCUCGGAGAGGAGGGCGGAAUUCCCGGUGUAGAGGUGAAAUUCGUAGAUAUCGGGAGGAACACCAGUGGCGAAGGCGGCCCUCUGGACGAUGACUGACGCUGAGACGCGAAAGCGUGGGGAGCAAACAGGAUUAGAUACCCUGGUAGUCCACGCCGUAAACGUUGGGUGCUAGGUGUCGCGGGUAUUGACCCCCCUGCGGUGCCGGCGUUAACGCAUUUAGCACCCCGCCUGGGGAGUACGGUCGCAAGCUA